RNAcentral lists this ribosomal RNA (482 nucleotides) under uncultured bacterium. RNAcentral describes it as "partial 16S ribosomal RNA". It matches the Rfam family "Bacterial small subunit ribosomal RNA", at positions 30 to 507 of the family's 1533-position model. The record is from RNAcentral.
AUUGGACGCUGGCGGCAUGCCUUACACAUGCAAGUCGAACGGUAACAGGUCUUCGGAUGCUGACGAGUGGCGAACGGGUGAGUAAUACAUCGGAACGUGCCCGAUCGUGGGGGAUAACGAGGCGAAAGCUUUGCUAAUACCGCAUACGAUCUACGGAUGAAAGCGGGGGAUCUUCGGACCUCGCGCGGACGGAGCGGCCGAUGGCAGAUUAGGUAGUUGGUGGGAUAAAAGCUUACCAAGCCGACGAUCUGUAGCUGGUCUGAGAGGAUGAUCAGCCACACUGGGACUGAGACACGGCCCAGACUCCUACGGGAGGCAGCAGUGGGGAAUUUUGGACAAUGGGCGAAAGCCUGAUCCAGCCAUGCCGCGUGCAGGAUGAAGGCCUUUGGGUUGUAAACUGCUUUUGUACGGAACGAAAAGCCUCUUUCUAAUAAAGAGGGGUCAUGACGGUACCGUAAGAAUAAGCACCGGCUAACUACGUG